UACGGGGGGGGCAAGCGUUGUUCGGAAUUACUGGGCGUAAAGGGCUCGUAGGUGGCCAACUAAGUCAGACGUGAAAUCCCUCGGCUUAACCGGGGAACUGCAUCUGAUACUGGAUGGCUUGAGUUUGGGAGAGGGAUGCGGAAUUCCAGGUGUAGCGGUGAAAUGCGUAGAUAUCUGGAGGAACACCGGUGGCGAAGGCGGCAUCCUGGACCAAUUCUGACACUGAGGAGCGAAAGCCAGGGGAGCAAACGGG
RNAcentral lists this ribosomal RNA (253 nucleotides) under uncultured bacterium. RNAcentral describes it as "partial 16S ribosomal RNA". It matches the Rfam family "Bacterial small subunit ribosomal RNA", at positions 524 to 776 of the family's 1533-position model. The record is from RNAcentral.